UAUUGGUCAAUGGACGCGAGUCUGAACCAGCCAAGUAGCGUGAAGGAUGACUGCCCUAUGGGUCGUAAACUUCUUUUAUAUGGGAAUAAAGUUUUCGACGCGUGGAAUUUUGUAUGUACCAUAUGAAUAAGGACCGGCCAACUCAGUGCCAGCAGCCGCGGUAAUACGGAGGAUCCGAGCGUUAUCCGGAUUUAUUGGGUUUAAAGGGAGCGUAGGUGGAUUGUUAAGUCAGUUGUGAAAGUUUGCGGCUCAACCGUAAAAUUGCAGUUGAUACUGGCUGUCUUGAGUACAGUAGAGGUGGGCGGAAUUCGUGGUGUAGCGGUGAAAUGCUUAGAUAUCACGAAGAACUCCGAUUGCGAAGGCAGCUCACUGGACUGCAACUGACACUGAUGCUCGAAAGUGUGGGUAUCAAACAG
This 416-nucleotide ribosomal RNA is filed under the name uncultured bacterium. RNAcentral describes it as "bacterial SSU rRNA". It matches the Rfam family "Bacterial small subunit ribosomal RNA", at positions 362 to 775 of the family's 1533-position model. The record is from RNAcentral.